RNAcentral lists this RNase P RNA (358 nucleotides) under Holzapfeliella floricola DSM 23037 = JCM 16512. RNAcentral describes it as "Lactobacillus floricola DSM 23037 = JCM 16512 Bacterial RNase P class B". It matches the Rfam family "Bacterial RNase P class B". Rfam says of the family: Ribonuclease P (RNase P) is a ubiquitous endoribonuclease, found in archaea, bacteria and eukarya as well as chloroplasts and mitochondria. Its best characterised activity is the generation of mature 5'-ends of tRNAs by cleaving the 5'-leader elements of precursor-tRNAs. The record is from Rfam by way of RNAcentral. Lineage: Bacteria; Bacillati; Bacillota; Bacilli; Lactobacillales; Lactobacillaceae.
GGUUUUGAGCAAUCGCGGUAAUCUUUAUGAUUGCUGAGGAAAGUCCACGCCCGCACAGGCUGAGAUGCCUGUAGUGUUCGUGCUUGGCCCAAUAAGCCCUGGGACUUCUUUUGAAGUUACGGCAGUUAAAGUGCUAAGGUCUUUGACUAUGCAUGACUAGCUUGAAAGUGCCACAGUGACGUAGCAAUAUUGGAAACUUUAUUGGUGGAACGAGGUAAACCCCGCGAGCGAGCAACCCAAACAUUGGUAGGGGCGCUUCAUUUAAGUAAAUGAACUAAAAAUGAAGGUAGAAAUACAGAUAGAUGAUUGCUGAAGGUAUUUUUCCUAGAAAUACUGGAACAGAACGUGGCUUAUAGAA